Rhododendron vialii is the source of this 2644-nucleotide RNA transcript. RefSeq lists it as uncharacterized. The record is from RefSeq and is a predicted model, not a curated record. The transcript has 9 exons. NCBI's taxonomy places the organism in Eukaryota, Viridiplantae, Streptophyta, Magnoliopsida, Ericales, Ericaceae.
UCGCUACGGGUUCUGCUUUUAAAAACGUGAUGAUGAAAUCAGCCUUACGAAACGCCUACUUCUCCUUCUCUUUCUCCUUCUCUCGCUCCAUAAACCCUAACCCUAAACCCCACCCACCCCUCUCUCUCCUCUCCCCCAUUCACACCGCCAUCCCAACCUCCCCCGCCUCACUCCGCAACCUCCGCCCACCGCUCUUCCCGACCCGUUGCUGUUCUUCUUCUUCCUCUCCGAUGGCGGACGGUGAAUCCCACGCUCCUCCUCCUUCCCCUUCCGAUACUCUGCUCGAGAAACAGUUCCAGCACUUCCGCCACCACCUCGACGAGUCCGUCGGCUUGCGGGAUCGCAUCCGAGCUGUCGCGACAGAGAUUGAAUCCGCCACUAGGCUCAUGCACUCCAGUCUCCUCUUAGUUCACCAGUCUCGCCCCGUCCCUGAGGUUUUGGAGAAAGCAAAGGCUCAGAUUGGCGUGCUGAAAGAGAUUUUCCAUCGACUUGCUGAAAUUCUUCGUGAAUGCCCUGGGCAGUAUUAUAGGUAUCACGGUGAUUGGAGGAGUGAGACUCAAACAGUUGUCUCGCUUCUGGCCUUUAUGCAUUGGCUAGACACAGGGAAUCUUCUUGUACACACAGAAGCUGAGGAAAAACUUGGAUUGAAUAAUUCACAAUUUGGUUUGGACAUUGAAGACUAUCUUGUUGGAAUUUGUUUCAUGUCCAAUGAAUUGCCGCGGUAUGUGGUGAACCGAGUGACAGCUGGGGAUUAUGACUGCCCAAGAAAGGUGUUGAAGUUCUUAACAGAUCUACAUGCAGCAUUUCGCAUGCUUAAUCUCCGGAAUGACUUCUUGCGCAAGAAGUUUGAUGGAAUGAAAUAUGACCUACGAAGAGUAGAAGAAGUUUACUACGAUGUUAAAAUCCGAGGUUUGGCAGCAAAUGGGGAUUCGACAGGAGACCAAGGAAUCCAAGGAGACUCAUAGUUGAGUUCAACAUGUUUUUGCGUUCAUUGCCCCUGGAAGAACUUUUAAGAUAUGGUUUUGCGAGGUUUGUCGCGACAUCUUCUAUACUAUAAAGCAGAGCGGAAAAUAUCUAGUGCUCAAUAUUGUAAAGCACAUAUUAUGUUGGGGAAUAAGUUGCAGUUGUUUUUGUGUAGGCCUUUUGUCCUUUUGAGUUUGCUCAUAACUUUGUUGAAUGCUUUAAGUCUCUUUAUUUAGUAGCAAAUGAUGACCUGCCUUUUUUGUUUACCGGUCUUGUGUGUGUACGGUAUAUGGGGAGAUCUAUCCAAAGGGAUGAUACGUUGUGAAGUCUUUCUUCUGACAUCAUUGUACUACCUUGUCUUUUUGAAUCUGUCACUCUGCAUCAUUCCUCAGUUGCCUCAAAUUAGCAUAAUUAUCUCCUUAUCUUCAAUAUCCCCGUCUACCGUUUAAAGAACAGAUGAAGUAUACUAGAGUCUAGACUAUUAUGGAGUGAUAGCCGCAAGAAGAUGAGGACAUCUAUCAUGUUAGUAGUUAGCAUGAGUGUUGUUAAAAUCUUAGAAUUAGGAUACAUAUUGUAUCGUGAGGGAAAUUGUACUGAUGGUAUGGUGUAAUGAUUUUGAAAGGAAAUUGGGAAGAAAAGUGGCACGAGACUAUUCUGUAACAUACAAUAUUUUGGCAUGCCGUAGUAGAGGGCUUGCAGAUCAUAAGAUAUGGAAGUGCGCCCUAUUUUUCGGAACUGGUAAAAGUUUAUCGGGGAGCUGGGUCAAAGGAUGAAGGCUUCUUGCUAAAAAUUCAUGCAUAGUGUUCUUUACAACUUGCAGACUUUGGAAAAUUUGAUCUCGUAGUUUGAUGAAAUGUAUGGUCACCAAACUGAGGUUCAUAAGUUUAAUCUUAGUGUGACAGUCAUUUGAGACCUGGCUUCUAGUGGGACUAUUCAUCAGUUCUUGAUGUGGGCAUGAGUUUUUCCGUUAAUUUUUUUGGCUUUGAUUAGGAUUUCUAGUCAUCCAAUUGUCGAGUAGUUCUGAAGUUGUUUACAUACGAUAAUCAACUGCAGUUAAGAUGUGGUAUUUUGGUUGAUACUUGACAUAAUCUAUCCUUAAUAUUCUGAUAUUGUAGAAUUGUUUUAUACAAUUUUAUCUGAUUCUUUAGGUAAUUGAAGAUGCUAUGCCAAUUAGAUACCUUUAAUGUUCUUGGGACUUUGUUUCUUGUUUACUUUCCAGUUGACUCGUUUGAGGGAUCUAAUUGUAUUUAUAGGAAUAUUUUCAGUUGUGUCAAAACCUGAAUUUAUCUGCAUAUUUUAACUGCUGCUAAGUGCUAUCCAAACAUGAACUUUUAUAAUUAGGGCCCUCCAGCAAAUCGUCUACAAACUCUGAAGAAGCGCCUCGUGGCUCCUGAUGAUUCCAUUGAAGAUGUGCUUGGAGUCCUCCAGAAACUUGCUCCCCUUGUACAAGGACUCUGGAUUCCAGCAACGCCACUGCUACUUGAAGGAGGAGUUGAAGGUCUAGCUACAGAUUACUGUCUUCUUUUCUUUAGUAAGAAAGAAUCCUGUAAUCAGAUAUGAACGAGGGAAAGCUGUGGGUUCUCGUGGUCAGCCUUUGAAAGAUGUUAUAAAAGGCGUGUUGGACAUUUUAAUUCAAACCAUUCAUUUCUCUUUUAAUAAAUUGAUUCGACGAUGUCUUCAA